This 1414-nucleotide long non-coding RNA is filed under the name Panax ginseng (ginseng). RNAcentral's name for it is "long non-coding RNA (PGIN_LNC004284)". The record is from RNAcentral. Lineage: Eukaryota; Viridiplantae; Streptophyta; Magnoliopsida; Apiales; Araliaceae.
UGAUCCAGAUGCGUACUGGAAAAGUGUUACUAAUGCUGAGGCAAUUCCAGAGGUAAUUCAGAGCCUUAUAAACAAGGGUUAUUUAGUAUCUCCGUUCUCCAUCAAGAAAGGUAGCAAUGCUGAAGAGAAGCAUUUGACUAGAGCCCAUGAAUCAGAAAAUUUACGUUUUUUCCCUUACACUGGCCACGAAGAUAAACCAGUUCAUGAAUCAGAAAAUUUACGUUUUUUCCCCUACGCUGACCACAAUGAUAAACCAGCCCAUGAAUCAGAAAAUUUACCAGCCCAUGAAUCAGAAAAUUUACGUUUUUUCCCCUACGCUGACCACAAGGAUAAACCAACCCAUGAAUCAGAAAAUUUACCAGCCCAUGAAUCAGAAAAUUUACCAGUCCAUGAAUCAGGACCGGAAAAUUCACGCAUUUUUCUCUAUCACAAGGAUAAACCAGCCCAUGAUUCAGAAAAUUUACCAGCCCAUGAAUCAGGACCGGAAAAUUCACGCAUUUUUCUCUAUCACAAGGAUAAACCAGCCCAUGAAUCAGAAAAUUUACCAGUCCAUGAAUCAAGACCGGAAAAUUCACGCAUUUUUCUCUAUCACAAGGAUAAACCAGCCCAUGAUUCAGAAAAUUUACCAGCCCAUGAAUCAGGACCGGAAAAUUCACGCAUUUUUCUCUAUCACAAGGAUAAACCAGCCCAUGAAUCAGAAAAUUUACCAGCCCAUGAAUCAGGACAGGAAAAUUCACGCAUUUUUCUCUAUCACAAGGAUAAACCAGCCCAUGAAUCAGAAAAUUUACGUUGAGGAUUAGUCAAAAAAAUAACGUUCAACUAAAGACCCUGAAUCAGAAAGGCUUAUUGUCUAAGCAUAUAUAUAUUCCAUGUGUGAUGAAUCUAGUUUGAAUGCAGGCGAGUCAUUGGAGGCCAGAUGCUACAAAAUAAUAACGACUGGCGCGUGAUACAAUUAGGCCUAUGGUUGUGAUUGUAAUCUAAAUUAAAAGUGAUUUGUGUCUGUAAUGUGCGUCUUAAUAUGUAUUUUGUGAUUGUGAUGAUAAAAACUAUCAGUUUGUUGUUUCUUUAUCUAGAGGCUAGAUGAUUAACCAAUUUACAUGCGUAAUUAUUUAGAAAUAAUUAGUCUGUUAUUCUUUGGGACUAACAACAGUAAAAUAGACCUACAAAGGAGAAAGGGUGUUUAAACACAUGAACUUGGGUCAAUUAUCACGUACUAGUUAGUGAACUUGGGUGCUUCUUACAUAUUAUUACUUCCUUUUGGAAAUGAUAAUCCACAUGCAGUAAUACCAUAUGAAUGGGUAAAAUCUCUUGCACCCUAAUAUGUUAUAUGAACCUCUCAGUUUUUUAUGAAAUCCAGCCCUGCACGUUGAAAAAUAUUACAGUAAGUAAAUGUUUAUACGAGUAACUAGUUCAC